UUUCUUUGGCAGAACAUACAGUAAACUAGAACCAUAAAGUGAUGAUUAGCAUGGGCUUAAUAAGAGGAUGACAUGCACGUUUGUGCAACACUGGUGUUUUUA
Small nuclear RNA from Ochotona princeps (American pika), 102 nucleotides. Lineage: Eukaryota; Metazoa; Chordata; Mammalia; Lagomorpha; Ochotonidae. The record is from Ensembl.